UAUUUCCUACGGGGCGCAGCAGUAGGGAAUAUUGCUCAAUGGGGGAAACCCUGAAGCAGCAACGCCGCGUGAAGGAAGAAGGCUUUCGGGUUGUAAACUUCUUUUAUCAGGGACGAAGCAAGUGACGGUACCUGAUGAAUAAGCCACGGCUAACUACGUGCCAGCAGCCGCGGUAAUACGUAGGUGGCAAGCGUUAUCCGGAUUUACUGGGUGUAAAGGGCGUGUAGGCGGGAGUGCAAGUCAGAUGUGAAAACUAUGGGCUCAACCCAUAGCCUGCAUUUGAAACUGUACUUCUUGAGUGCUGG
Molecule: ribosomal RNA, 305 nt
Filed under: uncultured bacterium
Lineage: Bacteria
Description: bacterial SSU rRNA
Rfam family: Bacterial small subunit ribosomal RNA
Source: RNAcentral